GGAGAGGUGCCGGAGUGGUUGAACGGGCUCGUCUCGAAAACGAGAAUCCUCCCAAAAGGGGGAUCGUGGGUUCGAAUCCCACCCUCUCCGCCA
This 93-nucleotide transfer RNA is filed under the name Fimbriimonadales bacterium. Its description in RNAcentral is "tRNA-Ser". It matches the Rfam family "tRNA". Rfam says of the family: Transfer RNA (tRNA) molecules are approximately 80 nucleotides in length. Their secondary structure includes four short double-helical elements and three loops (D, anti-codon, and T loops). The record is from RNAcentral. Lineage: Bacteria; Bacillati; Armatimonadota; Fimbriimonadia; Fimbriimonadales.